GCCAGGCGUGGUGGUGCACGCCUGUAAUCCCAGCUACUCGGGAGGCUGAGACAGAAGAAUUGCUUGAACCCGGGAGAUGGAGGUUGCAGUGAGCUGAGAUUGCACACCACUGCACUCCUGCCUGGGUAACAGAGCAAGACUCUGUCUCAA
Molecule: unclassified non-coding RNA, 150 nt
Organism: Pongo abelii (Sumatran orangutan)
Lineage: Eukaryota; Metazoa; Chordata; Mammalia; Primates; Hominidae
Rfam family: Metazoan signal recognition particle RNA
About the family: The signal recognition particle (SRP) is a universally conserved ribonucleoprotein. It is involved in the co-translational targeting of proteins to membranes.
Source: Ensembl